CUGAAUAAUAGCAACAAAAGUGCUUCAUAAAUGUUUUAUGGUCUAAAUUGUGGUAAAAGCUGUGAGCAAGAAGUGGUUAAUUUCCUGCCAGGUGCUUUUUUUAAAGGACAGAUAAAGGUUACUCUGGAGAGCAUUAGAGGACCAGAAGAUGAAUAGGGGUUAAAAGGGUGAGAUGGCAGCCACAAAUCCUUAUACAAAAUCUUAGGCUUCUACAAGGAGAAACUUGUCAGACUGCAUUUGGAGUACUGCGUUCACUUUGGACACCACAUUGUAGUAGGUACCACAACUGGCUAGAGGGAAGUUUUAUCUGGAGAAAGAGGGACUUUGGACAACAAGAUCACUUGGAAGUUUAACCCAGAGAAGAAGGACAACAAGAUUAUUUGGGGAAGUUUAACUUGGAGAAGGAGAAAUGAGAGCUCAAGUAUAUAUUAAGCACCUAUUGUGUACCAGGUGAAAGGAAUGGAGUCCCCCAGCUUAGUGAAUUUAAAAGGUUGUCAUUAGAGCGUCCCUAUUUUUCAGUCUGGGUUCCAGCUGGGAGUUGCAGCCAUUGAUGCCCUGAGGUGCAAAGAAUGACCUUCAGGACUCCAGCCCAGCAGUGUCUGGACAAGGAAUCAAGAUGUAAUACUGUAUUUGUUGGAAAUACAUUUGUUGGAACCAAUGCUGUGCAGGAACCGAGCCAAGUUUUGAGUCCAUCAGAAAAUGAGAAGCUUCAUAUGUAGCCAAAGUGAGUAACAAUCACACUGGGACAGAGGAAGAUACCUUCGGAGACAACAGUAUGCUGGGUACCAUGAUGCUAAGUCCUGAUGCUGCUGAUCUAGUCUGUCUGCU
Molecule: long non-coding RNA, 828 nt
Organism: Sarcophilus harrisii (Tasmanian devil)
Lineage: Eukaryota; Metazoa; Chordata; Mammalia; Dasyuromorphia; Dasyuridae
Exons: 3
Source: RefSeq, a predicted model, not a curated record